This 520-nucleotide ribosomal RNA is filed under the name uncultured Bacteroidota bacterium. RNAcentral describes it as "bacterial SSU rRNA". It matches the Rfam family "Bacterial small subunit ribosomal RNA", at positions 353 to 873 of the family's 1533-position model. Lineage: Bacteria; Pseudomonadati; Bacteroidota. The record is from RNAcentral.
CAUGAGGAAUAUUUGGCAAUGGAGGAAACUCUGAACCAGCCAUGCCGCGUGAAGGAUGACGGCCCUAUGGGUUGUAAACUUCUUUUAUAGAGGAAGAAACUUGUCUACGUGUAGACAACUGACGGUACUCUACGAAUAAGGAUCGGCUAACUCCGUGCCAGCAGCCGCGGUAAUACGGAGGAUCCAAGCGUUAUCCGGAUUCAUUGGGUUUAAAGGGUCCGUAGGCGGAUUUUUAAGUCAGUGGUGAAAGCCGACAGCUCAACUGUCGAACUGCCAUUGAUACUGGAAAUCUUGAGUACAAAUGAAGUAGGCGGAAUGAGUCAUGUAGCGGUGAAAUGCAUAGAUAUGACUCAGAACACCGAUUGGAAGGCAGCUUACUAACAUGUAACUGACGCUGAGGGACGAAAGCGUGGGGAGCGAACAGGAUUAGAUAACCCUGGUAGUCCACGCCGUAAACGAUCAUCACUCGCUGUUGGCGAUAUACUGUCAGCGGCCAAGCGAAAGUAUUAAGUGAUGCACC